UAGGGAAUCUUCGGCAAUGGACGAAAGUCUGACCGAGCAACGCCGCGUGAGUGAAGAAGGUUUUCGGAUCGUAAAACUCUGUUGUUAGAGAAGAACAAGGACGUUAGUAACUGAACGUCCCCUGACGGUAUCUAACCAGAAAGCCACGGCUAACUACGUGCCAGCAGCCGCGGGAAUACGUAGGUGGCAAGCGUUGUCCGGAUUUAUUGGGCGUAAAGCGAGCGCAGGCGGUUUCUUAAGUCUGAUGUGAAAGCCCCCGGCUCAACCGGGGAGGGUCAUUGGAAACUGGGAGACUUGAGUGCAGAAGAGGAGAGUGGAAUUCCAUGUGUAGCGGUGAAAUGCGUAGAUAUAUGGAGGAACACCAGUGGCGAAGGCGGCUCUCUGGUCUGUAACUGACGCUGAGGCUCGAAAGCGUGGGGAGCAAACAGG
RNAcentral lists this ribosomal RNA (429 nucleotides) under Gemmatimonadota bacterium. RNAcentral's name for it is "Gemmatimonadetes bacterium partial 16S ribosomal RNA". It matches the Rfam family "Bacterial small subunit ribosomal RNA", at positions 355 to 776 of the family's 1533-position model. The record is from RNAcentral. Lineage: Bacteria; Pseudomonadati; Gemmatimonadota.